Molecule: ribosomal RNA, 485 nt
Filed under: uncultured bacterium
Lineage: Bacteria
Description: partial 16S ribosomal RNA
Rfam family: Bacterial small subunit ribosomal RNA
Source: RNAcentral
AGUGAACGCUGGCGGCGUGCUUUACACAUGCAAUUCGAACGAGAACGGAAUAUAGCUUGCUAUAUUUGUCAGCUAAGUGGCGCACGGGUGAGUAAUGUAUAGAUAACCUGCCCUUAAGAAAGGAAUAACAGUUGGAAACGAAUGCUAAUGCCCUAUAUGCCUUUAAUACAUAAUUAUGCAAGGGAAACGCUUUAGUGCUUAAGGAUGGGUCUGUAUGGUAUCAGCUUGUUGGUGAGGUAAUGGCUCACCAAGGCUAUGACGCCUAACUGGUUUGAGAGAAUGAUCAGUCACACUGGAACUGAGACACGGUCCAGACUCCUACGGGAGGCAGCAGUGGGGAAUAUUGCACAAUGGACGAAAGUCUGAUGCAGCAACGCCGCGUGGAGGAUGACACAUUUCUGUGCGUAAACUCCUUUUAUAUAGGAAGAUAAUGACGGCACUAUAUGAAUAAGCACCGGCUAACUCCGUGCCAGCCGCCGCCGUAA